UACGUAGGGUGCGAGCGUUGUCCGGAAUCAUUGGGCGUAAAGAGCGUGUAGGCGGCCCGGUAAGUCCGCUGUGAAAGUCGGGGGCUCAACCCUCGAAUGCCGAUGGAUACUGCAGGGCUAGAGUCCGGAAGAGGCGAGUGGAAUUCCUGGUGUAGCGGUGGAAUGCGCAGAUAUCAGGAGGAACACCAAUAGCGAAGGCAGCUCGCUGGGACGGUACUGACGCUAAGGCGCGAAAGCGUGGGGAGCGAACAGG
RNAcentral lists this ribosomal RNA (253 nucleotides) under uncultured bacterium. RNAcentral's name for it is "partial 16S ribosomal RNA". It matches the Rfam family "Bacterial small subunit ribosomal RNA", at positions 524 to 776 of the family's 1533-position model. The record is from RNAcentral.